AACGAACGCUGGCGGCAUGCCUAACACAUGCAAGUCGAACGAGACCAUCGGGUCUGGUGGCGCAUGGGUGCGUAACGCGGGGGAACCUGCCCUUAGGUUCGGAAUAACUCUCUGUAAGGGGUGCUAAUACAGGAUAAUGUCCUCGGACCAAAGAUUUAUCGACUUUGGAGGGGCCGGCGUUGGAUUAGCUAGUUGGGAGGGUAAAAGCCUAUCAGGGCGUCGAUACAUAGCUGGUCAGAGAGGAUGGGCAGCCACACUGAGACUGGGAAGCGGCCGGGAAUCCUACGGGAGGCAGCAGUGGGGGAUAUAGGACAAUGGGCGGAGUGAUGAACCAGCAAUGCCGGGUGAGUGAUGAAGGCGGGAGGGAAGUAAAGCUCUUUUACCCGGGAUGAUAAUGACGGUACCGAGAGAAUAAGCACCGGCUAACUCCGUG
Molecule: ribosomal RNA, 433 nt
Filed under: uncultured bacterium
Lineage: Bacteria
Description: partial 16S ribosomal RNA
Rfam family: Bacterial small subunit ribosomal RNA
Source: RNAcentral